GAUGAACGCUAGCGGCAGGCUUAACACAUGCAAGUCGAGGGGCAGCAUGAAGGUUAGCAAUAACCUUUGAUGGCGACCGGCGCAAGGGUGCGUAACGCGUGAGCAACUUGCCCGUUUCAGGGGGAUAACCGGUGGAAACGCCGACUAAUACCCCAUAGUAUUGGUUUGAGGCAUCUCUUACCAAUUAAAGAAUUUCGGAAACGGAUAGGCUCGCGUGACAUUAGCUAGAUGGCGGGGUAACGGCCCACCAUGGCGACGAUGUCUAGGGGUUCUGAGAGGAAGGUCCCCCCACACUGGUACUGAGACACGGACCAGACUCCUACGGGAGGCAGCAGUGAGGAAUAUUGGGUCAAUGGACGCGAGUCUGAACCAGCCAAGUCGCGUGAAGGAAGACUGGCCCUAAGGGUUGUAAACUUCUUUUGUUUGGGAAUAAAUGAUACUACGUGUAGUAUUUUGCAUGUACCUUACGAAUAAGCAUCGGCUAAUUCCGUGCCAGCAGCCG
Molecule: ribosomal RNA, 502 nt
Filed under: uncultured bacterium
Lineage: Bacteria
Description: bacterial SSU rRNA
Rfam family: Bacterial small subunit ribosomal RNA
Source: RNAcentral